AGGAAAAGAAACUAACAAGGAUUCCCCUAGUAACUGCGAGUGAAGCGGGAUGAGCUCAAAUUUAAAAUCUGGCGUCUUCGGCGUCCGAGUUGUAAUUUAGAGAAGCGUUUUCCGCGCCGGACCGUGUACAAGUCUCCUGGAACGGAGCGUCAUAGAGGGUGAGAAUCCCGUCUUUGACACGGAUCCCCGGUGCUCUGUGAUACGCUCUCGAAGAGUCGAGUUGUUUGGGAAUGCAGCUCAAAAUGGGUGGUGAACUCCAUCUAAAGCUAAAUAUUGGCGAGAGACCGAUAGCGAACAAGUACCGUGAGGGAAAGAUGAAAAGCACUUUGGAAAGAGAGUGAAACAGUACGUGAAAUUGUUGAAAGGGAAACGCUUGAAGUCAGUCGCGUCUGCCGGGAUUCAGCCUUACGGUGUACUUUCCGGUGGACGGGCCAGCAUCACUUUCGAUCAUCGGAAAAAGGCGAAGGGAAUGUGGCACCUCCGGGUGUGUUAUAGCCCUUUGUUGUAUACGGUGACCGGGAGUGAGGACCGCCUUUGUAGGAUGCUGGCGUAAUGGCUUUAAACGACCGC
This 570-nucleotide ribosomal RNA is filed under the name Vararia sp. RNAcentral's name for it is "eukaryotic LSU rRNA". It matches the Rfam family "Eukaryotic large subunit ribosomal RNA", at positions 54 to 651 of the family's 3401-position model. Lineage: Eukaryota; Fungi; Basidiomycota; Agaricomycetes; Russulales; Lachnocladiaceae. The record is from RNAcentral.